UACAGAGGUCCCAAGCGUUGUUCGGAUUCAUUGGGCGUAAAGGGCGCGUAGGUGGCGGGACAAGCGUGCGGUGAAAGCCUGGGGCUCAACCCCGGGUCGGCCGUGCGAACUGUUUUGCUUGAGCACUGUAGAGGCAGGCGGAAUUCCGGGUGUAGCGGUGGAAUGCGUAGAGAUCCGGAAGAACACCGGUGGCGAAGGCGGCCUGCUGGGCAGUAGCUGACACUGAGGCGCGACAGCGUGGGGAGCAAACAGG
RNAcentral lists this ribosomal RNA (253 nucleotides) under uncultured bacterium. Its description in RNAcentral is "partial 16S ribosomal RNA". It matches the Rfam family "Bacterial small subunit ribosomal RNA", at positions 524 to 776 of the family's 1533-position model. The record is from RNAcentral.